Molecule: long non-coding RNA, 1022 nt
Filed under: Vulpes vulpes (red fox)
Lineage: Eukaryota; Metazoa; Chordata; Mammalia; Carnivora; Canidae
Description: lncRNA (ENSVVUG00000019743.1)
Source: RNAcentral
AAAUUUUUUUUGUGAUAAGAGUCAUUUUUUUAAAGAUUUUAUUUAUUUAUUAGAGAGAAAGAGUGAGCAUGAGUGGGAGGAGGGGCAUUGGGAGAAGCAGACUCCCCACUGAGCAAGGGGCCUGACAUGGAACUUAAUCCCAGGACCCUGGGAUCAUGACCUGAGCCAAAGGCAGAUGCUUAACUGAUUGAGCCACCCAGGUGCACCAAGAACUUUUAAGAUCAACUCUCUUAGUAACUUUUAGAUAUGCAAUACAGUCACCAUAGUGUACAUUACAUCCUCAUGAUUUAUUUAUUUUGUAACUGGAUGUCUGUACCUUUGACCCUCUUCACCCAUUCUGGCUCUUUUUCUUCCCCUUCUCUGCACUCUUACCCCAUGAGCCCAGCAGCCUAUGGUCUGAAGCAACACUAUCCAGUAGAGAUAUUAUGUAACCCCCAAUUUAAGGCCCUGACUGCCCAAAUCCUGCAGGAGAGGUCAUGGAGACCAGAAGUUGCAUGUUCAGUCCCUGAGCCCUGCAGGGCUAGAAGUGGUGUGCAACCCCUAAGCACACUGUCGGAGAGUAAUCUGGACCAACAGAGGAAGCACCAGAUAUGGGCCAGGAAGCCUGGGUUGAGGCUGUGCUCCUGCCUCUAAGGAAAUGUGUGCCUGGGACCUGCUUACCUGACGAUGCAGCAACUCUGAGCUCCAGCUUGUCUGUACCUCCUUUCCUCCCUCCUUUCCUUACAGACUUAUUACAAGGCUACAAAAACCAUGUUAUAAGGAGUGUCAAGAACUUUUGUAAAUGGACCAUGAAAAAGAGAUUUAAAGAGGUUCACCUGCCUUUCUGUACCAAAGGUUAAAACUCAAGAAGGUCUGUCUUUUUUUCUCCAACACUGUUUGACACAAUAGUCUGUUUGAUGCCUCCACUUAAAAAUCGGACACAAAAUCUUUAUGAGGACUUAUCACCUUCUCCUUCUCCCUCUCCAUUUUUGCUUACCUCUUAAGGCUCACCCCCUUGAAUAAAGUCUUUUUUUUUAUACUCA